GCGGACAUGGCGGAAUUGGUAGACGCCCUGGUUUUAGGUACCAGUGUCGCAAGGCGUGGGAGUUCGAGUCUCCCUGUCCGCACCA
Molecule: transfer RNA, 85 nt
Filed under: compost metagenome
Description: tRNA-Leu
Rfam family: tRNA
About the family: Transfer RNA (tRNA) molecules are approximately 80 nucleotides in length.
Source: RNAcentral